RNAcentral lists this ribosomal RNA (269 nucleotides) under uncultured Planctomycetales bacterium. RNAcentral describes it as "partial 16S ribosomal RNA". It matches the Rfam family "Bacterial small subunit ribosomal RNA", at positions 565 to 832 of the family's 1533-position model. Lineage: Bacteria; Pseudomonadati; Planctomycetota; Planctomycetia; Planctomycetales. The record is from RNAcentral.
GAGCACGUAGGUGGGUUUGUAAGUCAGAUGUGAAAGCCUUCUGUUCGACGGAAGAAUUGCAUCUGAAACUGCGAGUCUUGAGUGUAGGAGGGGAGAAUGGAACAUCUGGUGGAGCGGUGAAAUGCGUAGAUAUCAGAAGGAACUCCGGCGGCGAAAGCGAUUCUCUGGCCUAUUACUGACACUCAGUGUGCGAAAGCUAGGGGAGCAAACGGGAUUAGAUACCCCGGUAGUCCUAGCCGUAAACGAUGGGCACUAAGUAGAGGGGUUUU